CGAGUCGGUCAGGCGAUCGCUUCGCCGUCAGCUUCGGCUGCGGGCGGGGAGGAAAGUCCGGGCUCCAUAGGGCAGGGUGCCAGGUAACGCCUGGGGGGCGCGAGCCUACGGAAAGUGCAACAGAAAGGAUACCGCCUGGCUACUUCGGUGGCCCGGUAAGGGUGAAAUGGUGCGGUAAGAGCGCACCGCGCGGCUGGCAACAGGCGCGGCGAUGGUAAACCCCACUCGGAGCAAGACCAAAUAGGAAUCCAUACGCUGCGGCCCGCAGUGGAUUCGGGUAGGUCGCUACAGGCAGGCGGUGACGCCUGUCGCAGAUGAAUGAUCGUCCACGACAGAACCCGGCUUAUCGACCGACUCAACUU
Molecule: RNase P RNA, 362 nt
Filed under: Parahaliea aestuarii
Lineage: Bacteria; Pseudomonadati; Pseudomonadota; Gammaproteobacteria; Cellvibrionales; Halieaceae
Description: Bacterial RNase P class A
Rfam family: Bacterial RNase P class A
About the family: Ribonuclease P (RNase P) is a ubiquitous endoribonuclease, found in archaea, bacteria and eukarya as well as chloroplasts and mitochondria. Its best characterised activity is the generation of mature 5'-ends of tRNAs by cleaving the 5'-leader elements of precursor-tRNAs. Cellular RNase Ps are ribonucleoproteins.
Source: Rfam by way of RNAcentral